RNAcentral lists this ribosomal RNA (437 nucleotides) under uncultured bacterium. Its description in RNAcentral is "SSU rRNA". It matches the Rfam family "Bacterial small subunit ribosomal RNA", at positions 62 to 481 of the family's 1533-position model. The record is from RNAcentral.
UCGUGCGAGAAAGGGGACUUCGGUCCCUGAGUAGAGCGGCGCACGGGUGAGUAACGCGUGGAUAAUCUCCCCAGAAGUUCGGGAUAACGGCGGGAAACUGCCGCUAAUACCGGAUACGCUCCAAUUUCGGUUGGGGGAAAGGCGGCCUCUGUUUACAAGCUGUCGCUUCUGGAUGAGUCCGCGUCCCAUUAGCUUGUUGGUGGGGUAAUGGCCUACCAAGGCUACGAUGGGUAGCUGGUCUGAGAGGAUGAUCAGCCACACUGGAACUGAAACACGGUCCAGACUCCUACGGGAGGCAGCAGUGGGGAAUAUUGCGCAAUGGGGGAAACCCUGACGCAGCGACGCCGUGUGAGGGAUGAAGGCUUUCGGGUCGUAAACCUCUGUCGGGAGGGAAGAACCUUCUAAGUCCUAAUAAGGCAUUUGAACUGACGUACCUC